CUGAAAUCAGGUGGGACUACCCGCUGAACUUAAGCAUAUCAAUAAGCGGAGGAAAAGAAAAUAACAAUGAUUCCCCCAGUAACGGCGAGUGAACAGGGAAAAGCUCAAAGUUGGAACCUCCUGGGCCUAGCCUAGGCGGAUUGUAAACUAAAGUCUUCGAGUAGUUCGGCUAGCCUGGUAAUCAAGUCCUCUGGAAAGGGGCGACAUAGAGGGU
This 214-nucleotide ribosomal RNA is filed under the name Halteromyces radiatus. RNAcentral describes it as "partial 28S ribosomal RNA". It matches the Rfam family "Eukaryotic large subunit ribosomal RNA", at positions 1 to 213 of the family's 3401-position model. The record is from RNAcentral. Lineage: Eukaryota; Fungi; Mucoromycota; Mucoromycetes; Mucorales; Cunninghamellaceae.